UACGUAGGGGGCAAGCGUUGUCCGGAUUUAUUGGGCGUAAAGAGCGUGUAGGCGGCCAAGCAGGUCCGCUGUGAAACUCGAGGCUCAACCUCGAGACGUCGGUGGAAACCGUUUGGCUAGAGUCCGAAGAGGAGAGUGGAAUUCCCGGUGUAGCGGUGAAUGACGCAGAUAUGGGAAGAACACCCGUGGCGAAGGCGGCUCUCUGGGACGGUACUGACGCUGAGACGCGGAAAGCGUGGGGAGCGAACAGG
RNAcentral lists this ribosomal RNA (251 nucleotides) under uncultured bacterium. RNAcentral describes it as "partial 16S ribosomal RNA". It matches the Rfam family "Bacterial small subunit ribosomal RNA", at positions 524 to 776 of the family's 1533-position model. The record is from RNAcentral.